Molecule: long non-coding RNA, 516 nt
Filed under: Cyanistes caeruleus (blue tit)
Lineage: Eukaryota; Metazoa; Chordata; Aves; Passeriformes; Paridae
Description: lncRNA (ENSCCEG00000019993.1)
Source: RNAcentral
ACACAACUCCCAUCAACAGCAGCUCUGAAGAGGAAAGGGGCAGAGCAGAGCUUUGAGAAAUUGUGCUUGGGCUGGCAGACACGGACCAAGAGGAAAAUGAGUUUUAACUGGACCCGUUCGGGAUGAAAAGAGGACACCUCACCUGCCAGACACACCGUGAGCGAGUGCAGCACCAGCAGCUCCCAUAGCAACCUCAUCUUCAGCUCCAGGGACAGAGGAGAGCAGCCCAGGAAUCACAGAGCACAACGGGGCUCCCUGCAAAGCUCAGCCAUUCAGCAGUUGCUGCAGAGAACCAAGAGACACCAGAGGGUCGUGCACGUGUUUCAAAGCAGUUUCCAUCUCCCUGAUGUCUUCACAGGGUAAAGCAAGACAGAAAGUCUCCCCAAAGAGAAACGAUGCCUGUCUUGGCAAAAACAGCACUGAAAAGUAAAUGAGAUGAUUACCACUAAAAAUAUUUUCCUAAGGUUAAAUUAUGGUGGUUCUCGAGCCACGGCUGCAAUUCCAUUUCUCGUGAUC